AGAACGAACGCUGGCGGCACGCCUAACACAUGCAAGUCGAGCGCCCAGCAAUGGGAGCGGCGGACGGGUGAGGAACACGUGGGAACAUGCCUUUCGGUUCGGCACAACUGCGGGAAACUGCAGCUAAUUCCGGAUACGCCCUUACGGGGAAAGAUUUAUCGCCGAAAGAUUGGCCCGCGUCUGAUUAGCUAGUUGGUGAGGUAAUGGCUCACCAAGGCUUCGAUCAGUAGCUGGUUUGAGAGAACGACCAGCCACACUGGGACUGAGACACGGCCCAGACUCCUACGGGAGGCAGCAGUGGGAAUCUUGGACAAUGGAGGAAACUCUGAUCCAGCGAUGCCGCGUGAGUGAUGAAGGCCUUCGGGUUGUAAAACUCUUUCGACGGGACGAUAAUGACGGUACCGUAGAAGAGCGUCCGCUAACUUCGCGCCAGCAGCCGC
This 440-nucleotide ribosomal RNA is filed under the name uncultured bacterium. RNAcentral's name for it is "SSU rRNA". It matches the Rfam family "Bacterial small subunit ribosomal RNA", at positions 26 to 518 of the family's 1533-position model. The record is from RNAcentral.